This 770-nucleotide long non-coding RNA is filed under the name Oryza sativa (Asian cultivated rice). RNAcentral's name for it is "long non-coding RNA (OSAT_LNC001088)". The record is from RNAcentral. Lineage: Eukaryota; Viridiplantae; Streptophyta; Magnoliopsida; Poales; Poaceae.
GGUACGCCACGAAUCCCCUCCUCCUCCUCUUGGGCCCCGAAUCGGAGCUCGGCGACAUCGAUUUGAUUCGAUUGGGAGGGAUCGAUGUUGUUCUUGCAGGAACCUGAUGACGACGUCGGCGGACGAGGGGCAAUUCCUGAACCUGCUGCUGAAGCUCAUCGGCGCCAAGAAGACCAUGGAGAUCGGCGUCUACACCGGCUACUCCCUCCUCGCCACCGCCCUCGCCAUCCCCGACGACGGCACGGUCAGCAACACGCAAAUCCCCCAUCUCUUCCAUCGCAGAUCUGGCAAGAAAUCCCCAAUCGAUUGACGUCCAUCCCUCUGCUAACUAAUGCAGAUCUUGGCGAUGGACAUCAACCGGGAGAACUACGAGCUGGGGCUCCCGUCGAUCGAGAAGGCGGGAGUGGCGCACAAGAUCGACUUCCGGGAGGGACCCGCGCUGCCGGUGCUGGACCAGCUGGUGGAGGAGGAGGGCAACCAUGGGUCGUUCGACUUCGUGUUCGUCGACGCCGACAAGGACAACUACCUCAACUACCACGAGCGGCUGAUGAAGCUGGUCAAGGUCGGCGGCCUCGUCGGCUACGACAACACGCUCUGGAACGGCUCCGUCGUGCUCCCCGCCGACGCCCCCAUGCGCAAGUACAUCCGCUACUACCGCGACUUCGUGCUCGAGCUCAACAAGGCCCUCGCCGCCGACCACCGCGUCGAGAUCUGCCAGCUCCCCGUCGGCGACGGCAUCACCCUCUGCCGCCGCGUCAAGUGAGCCCGCC